This is a long non-coding RNA of Liolophura sinensis, 299 nucleotides long. RefSeq lists it as uncharacterized. The record is from RefSeq and is a predicted model, not a curated record. The transcript is spliced from 3 exons. Lineage: Eukaryota; Metazoa; Mollusca; Polyplacophora; Chitonida; Chitonidae.
UUGACGUAAAACUUAACACCAACUAAUGUGUUGCUUGCAGAUGUAAAGAGAGAAGAGGCCUUGAUCUUGUAGUAAAAUGGAUCAAGGCCGUGAUUGGUCUCCCCGACCCAGAACCCCCAUGGUGGAGACCGGCUGUGUGCAAAUGGGUCAAUCGGGAACCACAUGGUUAUGUCGAGGCUUUUGUGAUCGUCACAGCGUUGCUGCUUUUGUAUAGCAUGUGUUGGAGAAGGAAGAAGAAAACUAGACACCGACAAGGCAGGAAGUUAUGCAACAGGAAGCUUUCCCUGGAACCACAGAAA